This 459-nucleotide ribosomal RNA is filed under the name Salmonella enterica. Its description in RNAcentral is "bacterial SSU rRNA". It matches the Rfam family "Bacterial small subunit ribosomal RNA", at positions 1 to 456 of the family's 1533-position model. RNAcentral also lists the same sequence under 2 other names. Lineage: Bacteria; Pseudomonadati; Pseudomonadota; Gammaproteobacteria; Enterobacterales; Enterobacteriaceae. The record is from RNAcentral.
AAAUUGAAGAGUUUGAUCAUGGCUCAGAUUGAACGCUGGCGGCAGGCCUAACACAUGCAAGUCGAACGGUAACAGGAAGCAGCUUGCUGUUUCGCUGACGAGUGGCGGACGGGUGAGUAAUGUCUGGGAAACUGCCUGAUGGAGGGGGAUAACUACUGGAAACGGUGGCUAAUACCGCAUAACGUCGCAAGACCAAAGAGGGGGACCUUCGGGCCUCUUGCCAUCAGAUGUGCCCAGAUGGGAUUAGCUUGUUGGUGAGGUAAUGGCUCACCAAGGCGACGAUCCCUAGCUGGUCUGAGAGGAUGACCAGCCACACUGGAACUGAGACACGGUCCAGACUCCUACGGGAGGCAGCAGUGGGGAAUAUUGCACAAUGGGCGCAAGCCUGAUGCAGCCAUGCCGCGUGUAUGAAGAAGGCCUUCGGGUUGUAAAGUACUUUCAGCGGGGAGGAAGGUGUUG